AGCCGAUAAAUAGAUUGAUUAUCGAAUUUUUAUUACAUGCAUACAUUGGAAAUAUUCGUUGACACUGGAUUAUAACUAUGUUACACUUAGGCCAUAGCUAGCAAGAUAGCUGGAAGUUUUUAUCUUAGGAGGAUUGUGUCAUGCAAGGUAAAGUAAAAUGGUUUAGUGCAGAAAAAGGUUAUGGCUUCAUUGAAAGAGAAGACGGCGGCGACGUAUUCGUUCACUUCUCUGCCAUUCAGGAAGACGGCUUCAAGUCUUUGACUGAAGGUCAAGAAGUUGAAUUCGAUAUCGUAGACGGCGCUCGUGGCCCUCAGGCAGCUAACGUAACAAAAGCGUAAACUACGGUAACGACCUUUAUGACGGUAACUUCGGUUACCGUCUUUUUU
Molecule: small RNA, 386 nt
Filed under: Megasphaera micronuciformis F0359
Lineage: Bacteria; Bacillati; Bacillota; Negativicutes; Veillonellales; Veillonellaceae
Description: cspA thermoregulator
Rfam family: cspA thermoregulator
Source: Rfam by way of RNAcentral